This 328-nucleotide unclassified non-coding RNA is filed under the name soil metagenome. RNAcentral describes it as "partial contains 5.8S ribosomal RNA, internal transcribed spacer 2, and large subunit ribosomal RNA". The stretch from base 1 to 119 matches the Rfam family "5.8S ribosomal RNA", at positions 35 to 154 of the family's 154-position model. The record is from RNAcentral.
GAUGAAGAACGUAGCGAAAUGCGAUAAGUAGUGUGAAUUGCAGAAUUCAGUGAAUCAUCGAAUCUUUGAACGCACAUUGCGCCCCUUGGUAUCCGAGGGGCAUGCCUGUUCGAGCGUCAUUUCACCACUCAAGCCUGGCUUGGUGUUGGGCGACGUCCCCUUUGGGGACGCGCCUCGAAACGCUCGGCGGCGUGGCACCGGCUUUAAGCGUAGCAGAAUCUUUCGCUUUGGAAGUCGGGGCCCCGUCUGCCGGAAGACCUACUCGCAAGGUUGACCUCGGAUCAGGCAGGGAUACCCGCUGAACUUAAGCAUAUCAAUAAGCGGAGGA